Molecule: ribosomal RNA, 328 nt
Filed under: uncultured eukaryote
Lineage: Eukaryota
Description: partial 18S ribosomal RNA
Rfam family: Eukaryotic small subunit ribosomal RNA
Source: RNAcentral
CCCUUAGAUGUUCUGGGCCGCACGCGCGCUACACUGUCGGAUGCAGCGAGUCUUAACCUUAACCGAAAGGUUUGGGUAAUCUUAUGAAAGUCCGACGUGAUGGGGAUUGAUCAUUGCAAUUAUUGAUCAUGAACGAGGAAUUCCCAGUAAGCGCGAGUCAUAAGCUGGCGUUGAUUACGUCCCUGCCCUUUGUACACACCGCCCGUCGCUACUACCGAUUGGACGGUUUAGCGAGGCCCUCGGAUCGGUACCAGGACUCCGUCAGGAGUGACUGGCAACCGAGAAGGCGGUCGAACUUGACCGUCUAGAGGAAGUAAAAGUCGUAACA